RNA transcript from Sorghum bicolor (sorghum), 2102 nucleotides. It is a transcript of the gene named origin of replication complex subunit 4, with no coding region annotated. The transcript is spliced from 17 exons. The record is from RefSeq and is a predicted model, not a curated record. NCBI's taxonomy places the organism in Eukaryota, Viridiplantae, Streptophyta, Magnoliopsida, Poales, Poaceae.
ACGCAGAUCACAUGAUUGCAGAGGACAGUCAAGAGGAGCGACUUCAGAGGAUCUCGUUCCUCCCGUAGUCCCAUCGGCCGGUUUCUGCUUCUCCCUCCCAAUCCAAAAUCUCAACCAAACCCUACCGGGCUGCGGCGUGCCGGCGUGCGCAGGGCUAGGUGAGGACGCUGGGCGCGGGCGUCUCAAGGGCGCCACCUAGGCGGACCGCGGCAGGGCGCUGCGCCUGCGCUGGGCACGUGGGCGGCCCGUGGCGGGGCCGCAGCUAGCAGCGUGCGUAGGUGCCUGCGCCGCCGGGUGGCCGUUGGCCGGCUGCUCGAGAGCGACUGGACACCAACACCGGCAGCAGCACUUCUGCAACCUACACAGGCACAGAGACAGGAGAAUGUCUGGUCGAUGGGAGUCUUCAGCAAGCCAACAACUGUGAAUCCAAUUUGCCCACCCUACACACAAAUCCUCCGCCACUAUGGUGGCAGCGGUGUCGGUACCGAGCCAAGCACAGGCGAUGCUUCGGGGCCGGCUUUGUGACCCGGCCUUCGUCCACUCUGCCCUCAGGUCCUCCCCGGACACCAACUACAGCAAGCUGAAGUACCUAGUCUCCAGCUCUGUCUCUGAGGCCUGCAAUAACUCCGUCCUCCUCCUUGGUCCCCGCGGGUGUGGAAAAGCAGCGGUGGUCGACAUGGUUCUUGAUGAUCUGAACAAGGAGCACCCUGAUGCGAUUUCCGUGAUCAGACUAAAUGGGAUGCUACAUAGUGACGACAACUGUGCUAUGAAGGAAAUUGCUAGGCAGCUUUGUUUGGAGCAUCAGUUAUCAUUUUCAAAAAUGGCUUCUUCAGAUGAUAACACUGAGUUCAUGAUUGACAUGUUACGAGAGUGUGGACUAGCUCACAAGACAAUACUAUUUGUUCUAGAAGAGUUUGACCUCUUUGCUCAGGGUAAACAGAGGUUGCUUUACAGCUUACUUGAUGCAAUGCAGUCUCUAACAUCACAAGCCGUUGUCAUUGGUGUGAGUUGCCGCUUGGAUGCAGAUCAACUCCUAGAGAAAAGGGUUAGAUCCAGAUUCUCUCAUAGGAAGCUUUUAUUUAUUUCUCCUUCACUGGAUGAUAUACAGCGGUUGGUGGAACAUUUGCUUAUACUGGCGAAAGACUCAGGCUUACCAGAAAAGUAUAUCACCGAUUAUAACUCAAGACUUACUAGCAUUUUUAGUGAUAAGAAAUUCAAAGGAUGUCUCAACUCUCUCAUGGAUGCUGAUGCAACAACAAGCAACAUUCUAAGAUUUCUUUUCAGAGCUGUGUCAUAUAUGGACAUGGAAUCUGGAUUCCUGCCAAUAGAAAGCUUCCUAAAGGCCCUUUCUUCCAUGCAGAGGCAACCCAAGAUGGACAGCCUACAAGACCUCUCGAUUUUGGAAUUGUACAUUCUUGUGUGCAUGCACAGACUAGAAGAUAAGGAGCAAAGCUCAUACAACUUCACCAGCAUAAUGAAAGAUCCAUACAAGACGCCUAUAAGACUUCUGAUAAAUAUGCAAGCACUGUUUGUUUUAGGGCCUUCGAGCAUCUUUUGGAUAGAGAGCUGAUCAGUUUUGGUGACAACAGAGGGAGAAACCAGGCGCUUGAAUACCGACCUGUUAAGCUCCUUGUAUCCUCCCGCGAGCUCGCUCAGUCCCUCAAGCUGAACACCACCUGCCCUGCUGUACUACAGAAGCUGUUUGAUCGUGAAAGAUACAUGUAGAACCUCUCCUCAGCUGGCCGCACUUCACUGACUUGGAGUUGCCGGCUUGCCGCUUUCUUGUUUCACUGGGCUAAUUCCGCUGUCAAGUUCAUGAAUGUGGACGCGUUGUCAGGUCGAUGCGUUGUUUUGUAAAACGGCGAUUGUAUUGGUAUCUGUCCACUGUUCGUUGGAGUUGGAAAAGGUGUGGGCCGUGUGGCCAACUGCCUAGCUCGGUUGCAUCGCAUGACUUGUGUGACCUGCAUGUCAGUCACUUGACCAGAGUCCAGAGGCCACAGGGAGUUAAAUAUUUAUUCAUUUGUUGUACUGAUUGUGGGCUAACGAUCUUGAUCUGCAUCUCGCACAAGUUUAGCAGCGUGGUGAAUGUGAUAUUUUUGGUA